RNAcentral lists this ribosomal RNA (272 nucleotides) under Paenibacillus vandeheii. RNAcentral's name for it is "partial 16S ribosomal RNA". It matches the Rfam family "Bacterial small subunit ribosomal RNA", at positions 1 to 259 of the family's 1533-position model. The record is from RNAcentral. Lineage: Bacteria; Bacillati; Bacillota; Bacilli; Caryophanales; Paenibacillaceae.
UUAUUGGAGAGUUUGAUCCUGGCUCAGGACGAACGCUGGCGGCAUGCCUAAUACAUGCAAGUCGAGCGGAGUUGAUAGAAAGCUUGCUUUCUUGAUGCUUAGCGGCGGACGGGUGAGUAACACGUAGGCAACCUGCCCUCAAGUUUGGGACAACUACCGGAAACGGUAGCUAAUACCGAAUAGUUGUUUUCUUCUCCUGAAGGAAACUGGAAAGACGGAGCAAUCUGUCACUUGGGGAUGGGCCUGCGGCGCAUUAGCUAGUUGGUGGGGUA